RNAcentral lists this ribosomal RNA (484 nucleotides) under uncultured bacterium. Its description in RNAcentral is "partial 16S ribosomal RNA". It matches the Rfam family "Bacterial small subunit ribosomal RNA", at positions 29 to 507 of the family's 1533-position model. The record is from RNAcentral.
AGUGAACGCUGGCGGCAGGCCUAACACAUGCGAGUCGAGCGGCAGCGGGUCCUUCGGGAUGCCGGCGAGCGGCGGACGGGUGAGGAAUACAUCGGAAUCUGCCCUGUCGUGGGGGAUAACCUAGGGAAACUUAGGCUAAUACCGCAUACGACCUACGGGUGAAAGCGGGGGAUCGCAAGACCUCGCGCGACAGGAUGAGCCGAUGUCCGAUUAGCUAGUUGGCGGGGUAAAGGCCCACCAAGGCGACGAUCGGUAGCUGGUCUGAGAGGAUGAUCAGCCACACUGGUACUGAGACACGGCCCAGACUCCUACGGGAGGCAGCAGUGGGGAAUAUUGGACAAUGGGCGCAAGCCUGAUCCAGCCAUGCCGCGUGGGUGAAGAAGGCCUUCGGAUUGUAAAGCCCUUUUAUCCGGGAAGAAAUCGACUAGGCUAAUACCCCGGGGGGAUGACGUUACCGGAAGAAUAAGCACCGGCUAACUUCGUG